This is a long non-coding RNA of Numida meleagris (helmeted guineafowl), 1236 nucleotides long. RefSeq lists it as uncharacterized. The transcript has 2 exons. Lineage: Eukaryota; Metazoa; Chordata; Aves; Galliformes; Numididae. The record is from RefSeq and is a predicted model, not a curated record.
GCAUGCGCGGAGCACGGACGGCGAUCGCGUCACGUGACACGGGUGUUUUCCCCCCUUCGCGGCCCGGCGCCAUGUUGACGGGCGGUGGAUGGGGCUGUGGGGCCGGGCCCUGCGGCAGCGUGAGGGGCGAGGAGCGUAGCCUCGCGUCCCGUGCGUCCAUGGGGGCUUGUGUUCCCUCCUUGGGUGUCCCUAACCCUGGGGGUGAGGGUGGGCCGAGGCCGCUGUGAUGGUGGCCAGGUGGCCCACAUUGGAGCUAGGCCCUGAGGUGUGCUCUGUGGGGAUGAAAGGUGCCGGAAUUAGCCAGGCCGGGUCCUGUGUGUUGAAGGAACUGGGGGGAGGGGGGUUGGGCUGAAGGUUGAGCUCAGGUCUUUUACAGUCUGAAUGAUUCUCUGUGUCGAUUCCCGUAGGAAAGGUAUAGGGCAGUGAUGGCCGCCUGAGGAGUGCGUCGAGGCAGUGCUGUUCUUCACGAGAUGCUGGUGAGGCAGGGGCAGCCCAACUGCCGCAGCUGUGCAGGCAGCAGCCUGGAGACUGCACCCUGCUGCUGGUCCUUACAUACCUGCUUCCCUAUGGGGUGCAGAUGUCACGGCCAGCCUGCCAGAAGUGAGCCUGUCACAGGGCCGCGUUCAGUGUUGUUGUUCUGAGCUGCCUUUCAUUCUCUCCCCAUCUCCCACCCCCAAACCAGGCAGCUCUGGGGACAAAACCCCUUUUUUCCUUCCCCUAGGUCUUGCACCUGUACCCCUCGCCACUAGAUGGCACCGUGUGACCGUAGUGUGGGGGUGCCAGGUGCCAUGGGGUGGCAUUUUGGGGGCAGAGCGGGUGCUCCCACUCCUGUAGAUGUGUGGUUCCAAUUUCCUCAGCUCUGCUGGGCUCUUUGGGAGCUCUUUUGAUAACGUUUAAACGUUUUUCCUUGCAGCAAGGGGUCCACCAAGCCCUGCAGCAGCUCCUGCCUCACCCAAGGUGACCAGGGGACAGAAAUAAAACAGUGAAAGGCACCAGCUAGAUCCCUUUGAAUGUCCUUGUAGCAUUACAGGCGCGUCAAUGCCGAUCAUGAGCCACUAUGGGACAAGCCGACCUCACACCCGCGCCAAGGUGCGUUGGAGGGAUGUGAGUCACCUGGGGCUGGCAGCUGGAGGAACAAAGGUGCUGUUCUGGGAGCUGCUCCUGGGGCGCUGGGAUUUAGGGCGUGCGGGGACCGCACCUGGGGAAGGGCAUGGGACACUGCGGCAAAAUAAAGGG